RNAcentral lists this ribosomal RNA (468 nucleotides) under uncultured bacterium. Its description in RNAcentral is "partial 16S ribosomal RNA". It matches the Rfam family "Bacterial small subunit ribosomal RNA", at positions 28 to 507 of the family's 1533-position model. The record is from RNAcentral.
GACGAACGCUGGCGGCGUGCUUAACACAUGCCAGUCGAACGGAAAGGCCCUGCUUUUGUGUGGUGCUCGCGUGGCGAACGGGUGAGUAACACGUGAGUAACCUGCCCUUGACUUUGGGAUAACUUCAGGAAACUGGGGAUAAUACCGGCUAGGAGCUCCUGCUGCAUGGGGGGGGUUGGAAAGUUUCGGCGGUUGGGGAUGGACUCGGGGCUUACUAGCUUGUUGGUGGGGUAGUUGCUUACCAAGCCUUCGACGGGUAGCCGGCCUGGGAGGUUAACCGGGCACAUUGGGACUGCGAGACGGACCAGACGCCAACGGUAGGCAGUAGGGGGGAAUAUUGCACAAUGGGGGGAAGCCUGAUGCAGCGACGCCGGGUUCGGGAUGACGGCCUUCUGGUUGUAAACCGCUUUCGCCUGUGACGAAGCGUGAGUGACGGUAAUGGGUAAAGAAGCACCGGCUAACUACGUG